GGCGGCGUGCUUACACAUGCAAGUCGAACGAACGAAAUCGGUGCUUGCACUGAUCUAGUUAGUGGCAGACGGGUGAGUAAUACAUGGGAAUCUACCUUGCAGUACAGAAUAACUAUUGGAAACGAUAGCUAAUACUAUAUACAGCCGAGAGGUGAAAGAUUUAUCGCUGUAAGAUGAGCCCAUGCAAGAUUAGCUUGUUGGUGAGGUAAUGGCUUACCAAGGCUACGAUCUUUAGCUGGUCUAAGAGGAUGAUCAGCCACACUGGAAUUGAGAUACGGUCCAGACUCCUACGGGAGGCAGCAGUGGGGAAUAUUGGACAAUGGGCGAAAGCCUGAUCCAGCGACGCCGCGUGAGUGAUGAAGGCCUUAGGGUUGUAAAGCUCUUUUAGUGGGGAAGAUAAUGACGGUACCCACAGAAAAAGUCCCGGCUAACUUCGUGCCAGCAGCCGCGGUAAUACGAAGGGGGCUAGCGUUACUCGGAAUUAUUGGGCGUAAAGCGUGCGUAGGCGGCUAAGUAAGUUGGAAGUGAAAGCCUUUGGCUCAACCAAAGAAUUGCUUUCAAAACUGCUUGGC
Molecule: ribosomal RNA, 572 nt
Filed under: uncultured bacterium
Lineage: Bacteria
Description: bacterial SSU rRNA
Rfam family: Bacterial small subunit ribosomal RNA
Source: RNAcentral